GAAAGGCACUUUGUAUUACGAAUGAACGAGUUGUGUUGUUAAUAAGCGAGAAAUUCGACGACGUUGGACAGAUUUUUGGAUACAAACGCAGGACUACUUUAUGCGCCAACGCGGAAGGUUACACUUAACGACGGCCAUUUAAGUAUAUAAGGCCCCCACUACGAGAAUUGCGCCGCCAUUCUGCAAGUCCUCUCUGAACGGUGCGGCUGGAUCUCACCGAGGAAUUCUUGAAUGCGCCUCGAGCAACUUUACCGCUGGCGAGCGACUAGAGGCGCGAAUUGGAUACAGUCUCACCGUUUGAGAUGGCGGAUGCAGGUGGAAAAAAAAAGGAUAGGGAGAAAGAGAGAAAGAGAGAGAGAGAGAGUUGCUGUAAUGCAGGUGCAGACGAUACCUUGGGAUUUCGUACGCAUACA
Molecule: long non-coding RNA, 413 nt
Organism: Cyphomyrmex costatus
Lineage: Eukaryota; Metazoa; Arthropoda; Insecta; Hymenoptera; Formicidae
Exons: 2
Source: RefSeq, a predicted model, not a curated record